This 30-nucleotide non-coding RNA is filed under the name Mus musculus (house mouse). The record is from RNAcentral. Lineage: Eukaryota; Metazoa; Chordata; Mammalia; Rodentia; Muridae.
UUGGCCAUUUAAGUCAUUCUCACUUUCUGA